GGGAAUUGAGGUUGUAUUGGUUGGCACUGUAGUAGGUUUUUAUUUUGUGAAUAAGUAGUAGAAGGCGGUGGGAGUUAGGAUACCCCACCCUCAGUAGAAGGCGGUGGGAGUUAGGAUACCCCACCCUCAGUAGAAGGCGGUGGGAGUUAGGAUACCCCACCCUCAGUAGAAGGCGGUGGGAGUUAGGAUACCCCACCCUCAGAGGGCUCGGUUCACCUAUGCCCUCCGAGUAUUUGAGGGAUUGCCUCUAUAACCUUGAAAUUAAUCUCUUAAGUUAUUAAUCAUAGUUCCUACCCUCAGUAUUCUUGUAGAUUGAUCUUUAGAAGGAUCAUUACUUCGUGGUAGUAAUUGUAAGUCGGAGCAUAAGGUAUGUAAGGCUAAAUCUCAAUCUUAGAGUUCCUAUAUGUUCUCAUCAACAAAACGUUUAUCCUAUCUGAUGUGUCCUUGUUAUUGAAUCGAUGUGAGUUCAUCUAUACGAAAUGCUAGACUAUCUUUACAUAUGUUCUUCAACAGCCCAGAAUCCCUAUGUUUUCCUUACUAUGCUAGACAACAUAUGCUUCUUACGAUGAGUAUACAAUGAUUCUCCAAAGCUUCCUACAUAUGUAGAAUACGGGAUAUGUUCUUUCACUUAGACUUUUAUGAGCCCCCUUAUACGUUUUCAAGAUCACAUAUAUACAUAAAAAGAACUACACAUUUCCAAAAGCUCCUAGACAAGGGAUAUCUAAAUG
RNAcentral lists this long non-coding RNA (728 nucleotides) under Solanum tuberosum (potato). RNAcentral's name for it is "long non-coding RNA (STUB_LNC003581)". Lineage: Eukaryota; Viridiplantae; Streptophyta; Magnoliopsida; Solanales; Solanaceae. The record is from RNAcentral.